UAAAAUUUUGGCCAAAUUUGAGUCUGAGCU
RNAcentral lists this non-coding RNA (30 nucleotides) under Mus musculus (house mouse). The record is from RNAcentral. Lineage: Eukaryota; Metazoa; Chordata; Mammalia; Rodentia; Muridae.